Molecule: ribosomal RNA, 253 nt
Filed under: uncultured bacterium
Lineage: Bacteria
Description: partial 16S ribosomal RNA
Rfam family: Bacterial small subunit ribosomal RNA
Source: RNAcentral
UACGGAGGAUCCGAGCGUUAUCCGGAUUUAUUGGGCUUAAAGGGUGCGUAGGCGGACUGGUAAGUCAGCUGUGAAAGUUUACGGCUCAACCGUGAAGUUGCAGUUGAGACUGUUGGUCUUGAGUAUACAUGAGGUAGGCGGAAUUUGUGGUGUAGCGGUGAAAUGCUUAGAUAUCACAAAGAACUCCAAUUGCGAAGGCAGGUGACUGGGGUAUAACUGACGCUGAUGCACGAAAGUGUGGGUAUCAAACGGG